This 253-nucleotide ribosomal RNA is filed under the name uncultured bacterium. RNAcentral describes it as "partial 16S ribosomal RNA". It matches the Rfam family "Bacterial small subunit ribosomal RNA", at positions 524 to 776 of the family's 1533-position model. The record is from RNAcentral.
UACGUAGGGGGCUAGCGUUGUCCGGAUUUAUUGGGCGUAAAGAGCGUGUAGGCGGCCAUGUAGGUCCGGUGUGAAAACUCGAGGCUUAACCUCGAGAUGUCAUCGGAAACCAUUUGGCUAGAGUCCGGAAGAGGAGAGUGGAAUUCCUGGUGUAGCGGUGAAAUUCGUAGAUAUCGGGAGGAACACCAGUGGCGAAGGCGGCGACCUGGACAGAUAUUGACGCUGAGGUGCGAAAGCGUGGGGAGCAAACAGG